CACGUAGGGGGCAAGCGUUGUCCGGAUUUAUUGGGCGUAAAGAGCUCGUAGGCGGUUCGGUAAGUCGGGUGUGAAACCUCCAGGCUCAACCUGGAGACGCCACCCGAUACUGCUGUGACUCGAGUCCGGUAGGGGGAGCGUGGAAUUCCUGGUGUAGCGGUGAAAUGCGCAGAUAUCAGGAGGAACACCAGCGGCGAAGGCGGCGCUCUGGGCCGGAACUGACGCUGAGGAGCGAAAGCGUGGGUAGCAAACAGG
This 255-nucleotide ribosomal RNA is filed under the name uncultured bacterium. RNAcentral describes it as "partial 16S ribosomal RNA". It matches the Rfam family "Bacterial small subunit ribosomal RNA", at positions 524 to 776 of the family's 1533-position model. The record is from RNAcentral.